RNAcentral lists this transfer RNA (84 nucleotides) under Candidatus Iainarchaeum sp. Its description in RNAcentral is "tRNA-Ser". It matches the Rfam family "tRNA". From Rfam's summary of the family: Transfer RNA (tRNA) molecules are approximately 80 nucleotides in length. Lineage: Archaea; Nanobdellati; Candidatus Iainarchaeota; Candidatus Iainarchaeia; Candidatus Iainarchaeales; Candidatus Iainarchaeaceae. The record is from RNAcentral.
GCGGAGAUGGCAGAGAGGCCAAAUGCGCUCGGCUUGAGACCGAGAUCCCGAAAGGGAGCGGGGGUUCGACUCCCUCUCUCCGCG